UACGUAGGGGGCAAGCGUUAUCCGGAUUUACUGGGUGUAAAGGGAGCGUAGACGGCGGUGCAAGCCAGAUGUGAAAACUAUGGGCUCAACCCAUAGCCUGCAUUUGAAACUGUAUUUCUUGAGUGCUGGAGAGGCAAUCGGAAUUCCGUGUGUAGCGGUGAAAUGCGUAGAUAUAAGGAAGAACACCAGUGGCGAAGGCGGAUGACUGGACGGCAACUGACGGUGAGGCUCGAAAGCGUGGGGAGCAAAUAGG
Molecule: ribosomal RNA, 253 nt
Filed under: uncultured Oscillospira sp.
Lineage: Bacteria; Bacillati; Bacillota; Clostridia; Eubacteriales; Oscillospiraceae
Description: partial 16S ribosomal RNA
Rfam family: Bacterial small subunit ribosomal RNA
Source: RNAcentral